GGUGGCUCAGUGGUAGAGCGCUUGCCUCGCAUGCAUGAGGCCCUAAGUUCGAUUCCUCAGCACCA
Molecule: transfer RNA, 65 nt
Filed under: Dipodomys ordii (Ord's kangaroo rat)
Lineage: Eukaryota; Metazoa; Chordata; Mammalia; Rodentia; Heteromyidae
Rfam family: tRNA
About the family: Transfer RNA (tRNA) molecules are approximately 80 nucleotides in length. Their secondary structure includes four short double-helical elements and three loops (D, anti-codon, and T loops).
Source: Rfam by way of RNAcentral